UUUUUUAUAAAAAUAAUUUAUUUAUUUAAGGUUUUAGUAUUAAUUAAAAAUUAAUUUAUAAAUUUAUAGUUUAAUAGUAUUGUAAAAAAAAUUGUUAAAUUUAAUAAAGAAUUUAUUAGUACUUUUUGUAUCAGGGUUGAUUAAAAUUUUUAAUUUUUUUUUAAUUUCUCAAAAUUUAUAGAGUUAAUUUUAUUAUUAAUUUAUUGUAGUAAAAAUAUUUAAAAAAUAAUAUUAGUUUUGAAAUUUAAUUCGUUAUAUUAUAUUUAGUUAUUUAAGAUUUAAAUUUAAUUUAAAAUUUUAAAAGUUAUAUUGAUUUUAUUAAUUAAUAUUUUAGAUUUAAAUUAUUUUAGGGAUAAGCUUGAAAUUUUAAUAUAAUAAUUUAUUUAUUUUAAUAAUUUAUAGGAAUAGAAAUUUUUAUAUAAGUUUGUAAAAAUUUAUUAUUUAUUUAAUUUUAAUUUAUUAUAUUUAUAUUUAUUUUUAGUAUUAAAUUUUAUUAAUUAAUAUUUAAUUAAUAGUAAUAAUGAUUAAAUUAGUAUAAUAUAUAAAUUUAUAAAUUAUGAAUUCGGCAAAAAUUAUUUUCAUCUGUUUAACAAAAACAUUGUAUUAAGUUUAAUUUAAUAUAGGAUCUGCUCAAUGAUUUAUUAAAUAGCUGCAGUAUUUUGACUGUGCAAAGGUAGCAUAAUAAUUAGUCUUUUAAUUGAGGACUUGAAUGAAAGAUUUGAUGAGAAAUAAACUUUAUUAUUUGUAAAAUUAGAAUUUUAUUUUUAAGUAAAAAAGCUUAAAUUAUUUAAAGGGACGAUAAGACCCUAUAAAACUUUAUAAAUUUUAAUUUUAAUUUUUUUGGAUUUAUAAAUAUUUUACAAUUAAAAUUUAUUUUAUUGGGGUGAUAAAAAAAAUUAAUAAACUUUUUUUAAAAUUUAACAUUAUUUAAUGAUUAUUUGAAUUAAAAUUUUUAAUUAAAGGAAAAAGUUACUUUAGGGAUAACAGCGUAAUUAAUUUUUUAAGUUCAAAUUUAAAAAUUAGUUUGCGACCUCGAUGUUGAAUUAAGAUUAAUCUUAGGUGCAAAAUUUUAAGUAUUAGGUCUGUUCGACCUUUAAU
RNAcentral lists this ribosomal RNA (1098 nucleotides) under Aphis glycines (soybean aphid). RNAcentral's name for it is "partial 16S large subunit ribosomal RNA". The record is from RNAcentral. Lineage: Eukaryota; Metazoa; Arthropoda; Insecta; Hemiptera; Aphididae.